Molecule: ribosomal RNA, 468 nt
Filed under: uncultured bacterium
Lineage: Bacteria
Description: partial 16S ribosomal RNA
Rfam family: Bacterial small subunit ribosomal RNA
Source: RNAcentral
GACGAACGCUGGCGGCGUGCUUAACACAUGCAAGUCGAACGGAAAGGCCCUGCUUUUGUGGGGUGCUCGAGUGGCGAACGGGUGAGUAACACGUGAGUAACCUGCCCUUGACUUUGGGAUAACUUCAGGAAACUGGGGCUAAUACCGGAUAGGAGCUCCUGCUGCAUGGUGGGGGUUGGAAAGUUUCGGCGGUUGGGGAUGGACUCGCGGCUUAUCAGCUUGUUGGUGGGGUAGUGGCUUACCAAGGCUUUGACGGGUAGCCGGCCUGAGAGGGUGACCGGCCACAUUGGGACUGAGAUACGGCCCAGACUCCUACGGGAGGCAGCAGUGGGGAAUAUUGCACAAUGGGCGGAAGCCUGAUGCAGCAACGCCGCGUGCGGGAUGACGGCCUUCGGGUUGUAAACCGCCUUCGCCUGUGACGAAGCGUGAGUGACGGUAAUGGGUAAAGAAGCACCGGCUAACUACAUG